GGGAACUGAAAACACAUCGUACAGCAGAAACCAGCAAGUGUGGGAUGGCUGGUGAAGGGAAAUAUUAGAAAGACAACUCUCUGCAGAGCUUCACGGGCCAGUGGGAGUUUGGAGUUUGAGAAAGCAGUCUGGCUCCUGUGGACUUAACUGCCCCCCAGUGAAUGUGAGACAUCAGCACUCCCGUUCCUGUAUGAUAUGAAGUCUCCUCCAAAAAGAAAUCUUUAUUUAAGUAAAAGAGAGAAGAAAAAAGAGAGGAAGGAAGGAAGAUGGAAUUAAAGAAAAAACAUUGAUGGAAAAAAUAUUCAAGAUGUUGUUA
Molecule: long non-coding RNA, 316 nt
Organism: Canis lupus familiaris (dog)
Lineage: Eukaryota; Metazoa; Chordata; Mammalia; Carnivora; Canidae
Exons: 3
Source: RefSeq, a predicted model, not a curated record